UCAUAAAAAUGAAUAUGACCAAGCUCGCGAAAAAAUUUAAGAGUGGGCUGAGCCUGGACCGACUUCAAGUAAAAAAAAAUCUUGAAGCUGUCCAUCUUAUUAUAGAACCAAAUUCUAAAAACCAAUUCGAUAUGAAUUUUUAAAAUUGCCACGAAUUGAUGAAGAAAAUUGAUUUUGGAUGCGAAGAAGGAGAGAAUUUGAAGAGAUGAAAAAUUGCAUUCGGCGAAUUUGGAUUGUCGUUUUUGGACCAUACUAAGUGUGGUCACCGGUGAGGCGGGGUUUAUCUGAUGGAAUAUGCUGACUACAGGGACUUGAUUGAUAUUCAUCAAUUCCUUGUUUUGCUACUUGUUAUUUUCUGGAUAAGCUCAUUGAUUAGCAUCAUCUGGCUGUAUUCUACUUUUGUGUAAGUGCAAGCUAGAACAAUCAUAACAGGAAGGCCCGCGUGUAAGUUCUAACGGGAAGGCCCGUGUGCUCGAAGGUCUGAAAAUUCAAAGCAAUUUGGGCUGACAUGAUCCAGUGGAGGAAGUAUUUUGUUUGUUCAGGUGAGAUUUCCAGGGUUAGGUGCAACGUUAUGCCUAAGAUUUUGGGGUUCAGUAAUGUGAUGGAAAAAACGAGGCAGGGUUUAGCUGAAGCUGACCAGCAGUCUUGGGAAUUGAAGGUGAGGGUGAAUUGAAGGUGGAAGAUUGAACAAGCUGAUUAUGCAUGGUAUUGUUAAAAUUUGUCUUUAUUUAUUCAGCUUUGUUGUAAGAGUGAAUUGUGCUAUGGGCUAGAACAAUGGAAUAACUGAUAAUAAGCUGUUAGUUCAACUUUAGAUGGAGAAAUGACAUCAUCAAGUUAUUGAUAAUGAUAAUGAUGAUCUCUGUGUCUUUUUGCCUUGUUGAUAAUGAAUUCAAGUGAGUUGUACAAUUGUUAUUGUUUUGUGGGAUUUUAGUGCAUUGAAAUAUGGUGGUGUCAAUAGUAUUUAGUUUCAUUUUAUAUUGUGAUUGUGCAAGGAACUGUUCUAUAACUACAAUUAUGAAAAAUUAAAACAUUUCAAAGAGGAUAUAAAGUAGUUAGGAAUCAAGUAGGGCAGAGAGAAUUCUAGUCAAGUAGUGUCUAUCACACUAAGGUAAGCAACUCAACUUAAUCUUAUUUUUAAUGUAAUUAUUAUCCCUCGAUCUAGUCAUAAUUUUUCUGCUUUCUCUGCUAGGAAUUGGGUCAGAAAAACAGAGCAAGUAAGCAAAUUAGAGAGAAAAUUAGCUAGAACCAGAUAGAUUGUAUUGCAAGUCAGAGUAACUACAAUACAACUCCUUUCUUUUGAGAGGAAAGGAUGUUCUCCCAAGGAAUGAAUUCCACAAAUGAUUUCUAGAUACAUUCCCUCUACAAUUAUUCCCUUAAAUAACCAAAGAUAACUAACAAGCUGCCAUAACAAACUCAGCACACAAAACAAGGACUUACAAACUUAUUUCUUAAUUACUGAUUUACCCCUCCCUGUAACUAACUUCCAGCUCACCCAAAACCAGCUCACUCUCUUCUAACAGCUCCUUGCUUGGGCUUCCUUCUUGCAUAUGUAAACCGGACCUUGGGACUGGGCUGAUCUCUAGCAUUCUCUUAUCUUUUGUUUUUGAAAUUGACUUCCCCCCCCUCCCCCUCCCCCUCUUUUUUUUUUUUUUACCUUCAGGUUUGUGAUUUAGAUUGCUAAAGUUAAGUUUGCCAUUGUUGUUUUGUUGGCUGACCAAGGAUUAUUUGUUCCCAUUUAUGCAGAUAUUAACAUUAUUUCAUUAACUCAUAUUUUGGUGUUUGAUAUAAGAUCGUUUGGGACCUAUAAUUGCAUAAAUUGGAUUUGUGAUGGGGUAAGAUGAAAGGCUUUUAAAAGUUUGAGUACCGAAUUAUAACAUGGCCAAACCAUUAUUGAAUCAUGGGCUGGGGUAGGGGGGAGGGGAUGAUCUGAAUGUGUCAUGAAGAAUGGUGUUUGUGACGUCAGUUUGCUGAUAGCUCAACGUUAAUAUGUUUUGAUAGUUCAACCUGAAGAGAUGUAGAGAAUGAUACAAAAAGGUAGGUUGGGUAGGGGAGUAAAAAAAAAAAUCAGGGGCCUCCACAUAUUCAUCAGUAGCAAUCAGGGGCCUCCACAUAUUCAUCAGUAGCACUGAUAAUUAAAGGUCAAAUGUUUUUUUAAUUUUUUUUUUAAUAUAUAUAUCUUAUUGAUUGCAUUGAUCUUUUCUGUUAUCAGGAAGAGACUUACACUUCAUAUCACUGAACUGUGUCGAACUGCAAUCUGUAAAGCAAUACAUGGUGGUUUCAAGGACACUCUCAUGAAUGACUUAGUUGUUCUUGUGCUAGAAUAUAUGGUUGAAUAGUGGUCUUGGUCAGGGGCUUCUACUACAAUGAUGGUUAAUUGAGAUUUGAGAUGGUUGUUUUAUUAAGAACUUGGAUUUUACAAUGUUUAAUUAAGGUUUUGACACUCUCAAGUCUUGAUUUGGGCUAAAAAUAAUCUCUGAAGAGUUGUUUGAAGAUUAUUUUGUCAGCCGUACUGGACUUUGGGUUCAUUUUUUUCCCUUUUUCUGUUACUCUAAUUCAGAAAUGAUUGUUCAUUAUUAACCAUGUUGUUGAGCUGAUGAUGAUGGAUGUCUUUGGAAAUUGUCUCAUACAGAUGUCUGCAGUUUUGAACAAAGAAUGAGGAUUGUACAUGUGGUGACCAAAAACCAUGGAGAGCUUGUCAAAAUUUCCUUAAAUACACAUGGGAAUUGUUAUUCAACAUAAUGAAUUGAUUAUUCCUUGUUAGCCUUAUUUAUAUAGUUUUGCCAAUGAUUUCCAAUAAUGAGGAGUUUUUUUUUUUUUUUUUUUUUUUUUUUUUUUUUUUUUUUUAAUUAAUUAAUUUUAAAUUUUUUUUUAAGGUCAUGAGUGGUGCAGAAAUUGAUCGAGAGCCUCAAAUCAAGGAAGUAGAUUUCAAUGGUGAUUUGAGCUCUUGAAUCAGUAUUUCUUGAUCUUAUAAAAGAUCUGAAUGGGAAUCAUGUUUUCCAGUGUUGCUUUCAAUGCCUUAGCAGUGAUGUUAAUAAGUUCAUCUUAAACGCGGCUGCAAAGUUCUGUGUUGAGAUUGCUACUCAUUGGCUUGGGCGUUGUGUUCUUCAACGUUGCAUUUCUCACUCCACUGGUGAACAUUGGUAGAAGUUGUUAGAUCAAAUUUGUAGCAAUGGGCUUAUCCUUGCUCAAGAUCCUUUCGGUGUUAUGCAGAUCUACAUGAAUCCAUGGAUUGUGAGAACUACCUGAGCUCAAGUAUCUGAAUACUCCGAAACAGCUAAUAAGGAGAUGAAAUGACUAGGUUCAUAUGUAAAUCCAAAAGAGUUUGCGAAUAUAUAUGCUCGCUAUGAUAAUGUGUCCAAGUGUCGAACUUGGGUAUUUUGUGGAAUCUAUCCAUGAUUUUGAACUAAAAUGAAGUGUCUAAGUGUCCUACUCAUGUCCGAGUGUCAAGGGUCUGACAUGGGUACUUAAGGUGAAAUGAAGACUUAUAUAUCCUUUUCCGAAGCUUGAUUGGUCUCCCAAAUCAUGAUUCCACCAAUGACAAAGUCACAAUCGAAAGUGCAGAAGCUACAUUAAAGUAUGAUGUGAGUAUGAUGUUGAAUUGAUGGGCAAUUCGCUUGGUUGCUCCGCCUCUAAUGAGCGGCUGUUGUCAGCGACGAGAGACGGAGGGUCAUAGUGUGGAUAUAACAUAUCAGAAGAUUCAGAACACCUCUAUGAGGCUGUUGUUUACCUACAUGCGGGAUGCACAGAGAGUUUCCAAUUUAGUGGUGCAUUCUCUUUGUUAAUUGAAUAUAUUAUGGAGCAGGAGCUGUUUGUUGUUACGUUGUAUUCUUGAAUCUGCUGAGGGUGAUAUAAUUUGUUUAUCUGCUGAUCACAGGCUUGAGAGCAAUGAGGAAGAGAGAGAUCGUGUUACAGCCUGUGGAGGUGAAGUUGGUCGGCUUAAUACUGGUGGUGGAACAGAGAUUGGUCCUUUGAGGUGUUGGCCUGGUGGCCUUUGUCUAUCUCGAUCCUUGGAGAUAUGAAUGUUGGCGAAUUUAAAGUUCCAGUUCCUUAUGUGGAACAAGUGAGGGAUAACACGCCGCCACCUGCUUGCUUUGACGCUAGAAGUAAAUGGAGUAGUUUUGAACGUUAUGGUGAUGAGGAAAGAAGAAAAGCCUAAUGCAAGCGAAAGGAAGAGGAGUUGGGUCAUUGCCAUUUGGAGAGGGUCUGUGACUGGACUCGUGUUAGAUUUGACGUGGACACUAGAAAUUGAGUGUAUCUCGGCAACAUGUCAAGUUUUGUGAUGAGAAUGUGCCCUUGUGUAUGUGCAAAAGGUUAUCUCCAAUGCUCCCUAUUCAAACAAGGGCCCUAAAUCAAGGGUUUGGUCUCCUCCUCAAAGGGGUUACUUCAAACUUAACACUGACGGUUCGUGGGUGUCUGGGAAAUUCUGAUGCAGGGGGGUAUCAUUCAAUGCCAUCAAGGUAAAUGGCAAUUUGGUUACACUAUGAAGAUCAUUGCUCUUGAGGCAGCCUCCACUGAACUAAUAGCUAUCCGAGAAGGGCUUACUGCUGCAUGGGACAAAGGAAUCAGGUACUUAUAACUCGAAACAGAUGCUGAAGCCAUUCGCUACAUGACUGAAAACCCGCAGGACUACUUAGACCACCAACUUGCUGUUCUGGUGAAUGAUCUUGCUCUAUUGCUUCGUAGAGAUUGGAGUGUUAAUGUGCUUCAUGUUUAAAGGGCAGCAAACAAAAUUGCCCAUGGUCUUGCUGACAUUACCAUUACGCCUCUUCUCCCGCCUGACGCAGAUCUACACUGAAGAAUUGACCCUCUGGCCUGUGGCCAUGACUGAUGGAAACUGAAGCUUAUGAAGUUCUGCUUCCCAAGCCACUGCUAGGCUACCCAUUUAUCUUUAAAGAUUAUUUAGUUUACUUAGUUUAUGUUUGUUUAUUUUCAGCUUUCUACUUUCUUCUGGUUCAGGUUGAUGCUGGGUACCUGAGGAUAGUUUUUUCCAUCUUAUCCUUGUGGCUGCCUUUUUUGUACCCACUUUUGGUCUAAUAUUCUGGGUUUCAAGGAUGCUAUUUUUCAUCCUCUUACAAUAUAAGUCCUCUUUGGUUUUUUAUUUUUAUUUUUAUUUUUUGUAAAAAAUGUCAUUAUUGCAUUGUAAUCCCGACUCUUAAAUUUGCAAACUGCUAAAAAAUUGACACUGGCUAUACUAAA
Chenopodium quinoa (quinoa) is the source of this 5196-nucleotide long non-coding RNA. RefSeq lists it as uncharacterized. Lineage: Eukaryota; Viridiplantae; Streptophyta; Magnoliopsida; Caryophyllales; Amaranthaceae. The transcript is spliced from 13 exons. The record is from RefSeq and is a predicted model, not a curated record.